GACGAACGCUGGCGGCGUGCUUAACACAUGCAAGUCGAACGGGCCUGUCUUCUUUUUUGGGGGUGGGUUGAGUGGCGAACGGGUGAGUAUCACGUGAGUAACCUGCCCUUCGGUCCUGGAUAACCGCUUGAAAGGGCGGCUAAUACGGGGUGGUCCGGUUGGUCCGCAUGGGCUGGUCGGGAUAGAUUCACUGUUUUUGGUGUUUCGGCGGGGGAUGGGCUCGCGGCCUAUCAGCUUGUUGGUGGGGUGAUGGCCUACCAAGGCGGUGACGGGUAGCCGGCCUGAGAGGGUGGGCGGCCACACUGGGACUGAGAUACGGCCCAGACUCCUGCGGGAGGCAGCAGUGGGGGGUAUUGCACAAUGGGCGGAAGCCUGAUGCAGCGACAUCGCGUGAGGGAUGGAGGCCUUCGGGUUGUGAACCUCUGUUUCCGGUGGUGAAGGCCCUGUCCGUGUGGUGGGGUUGACGGUAGCCGGGGAUGAAGCGCCGGCUAACUACGUG
RNAcentral lists this ribosomal RNA (499 nucleotides) under uncultured bacterium. Its description in RNAcentral is "partial 16S ribosomal RNA". It matches the Rfam family "Bacterial small subunit ribosomal RNA", at positions 28 to 507 of the family's 1533-position model. The record is from RNAcentral.